Molecule: long non-coding RNA, 519 nt
Organism: Drosophila busckii
Lineage: Eukaryota; Metazoa; Arthropoda; Insecta; Diptera; Drosophilidae
Exons: 3
Source: RefSeq, a predicted model, not a curated record
CAAUAACUCAAAUGGUAUUAGUAAGCGUUAUGUGGCUCAGUCUGUUAGCCUGCUCAAGAGCCUUAGCUUUGGACCUGUGCUCAGGACAGACAAACGGCUACAAGACUGUGGAUCCAGCGAGUCCUUUGGCUUACUUUGUAUGCCUAGGUGGCAUGGGCAAAUAUCGCAGUGUCUGCGAUGAAGGAUUGCGUUUUCGACGUGGUUGAACAGCAAUGUGUAUCUGAAACCAGACCAUUGCCUAUAAAGCCCAGCAGGACAGAUGAAUCGACUAAUAUGUUUCAUAUUAGCCAAUAUAUAAGCAUGUUUAGGCCACUCAUUUUCAAUAUAUUUGGCUCUUUGUGGCAACCAGACCAAUCAGCCAUAAAUUUUUCAACUACUACUGCAGCAACAUCUUCAACAACUGCACCACCAACAAGCAGUUCUAGUGCAAAAAGGAGUUAAAGUCACAACCAAAUCUUCAACACCGAACCCUAGCAUAUCUAAAACAUUAUUAUAGAUUUAAAUUAAAUAAAGAAAAAA